Molecule: ribosomal RNA, 425 nt
Filed under: uncultured bacterium
Lineage: Bacteria
Description: partial 16S ribosomal RNA
Rfam family: Bacterial small subunit ribosomal RNA
Source: RNAcentral
GUGGGGAAUAUUGGACAAUGGGCGCAAGCCUGAUCCAGCCAUGCCGCGUGAGUGAUGAAGGCCUUAGGGUUGUAAAGCUCUUUCACCGAUGAAGAUAAUGACGGUAGUCGGAGAAGAAGCCCCGGCUAACUUCGUGCCAGCAGCCGCGGUAAUACGAAGGGGGCUAGCGUUGUUCGGAUUUACUGGGCGUAAAGCGCACGUAGGCGGUUUGUUAAGUCAGGGGUGAAAUCCCGGAGCUCAACUCCGGAACUGCCUUUGAUACUGGCAAGCUAGAGUCCGGAAGAGGUAAGUGGAACUCCUAGUGUAGAGGUGGAAUUCGUAGAUAUUAGGAAGAACGCCAGUGGCGAAGGCGGCUUACUGGUCCGGAACUGACGCUGAGGUGCGAAAGCGUGGGGAGCAAACAGGAUUAGAUACCCGAGUAGUCC